AGAGUUUGAUCCUGGCUCAGAUUGAACGCUGGCGGCAUGCCUUACACAUGCAAGUCGAACGGCAGCACGGGUGCUUGCACCUGGUGGCGAGUGGCGAACGGGUGAGUAAUAUAUCGGAACGUACCUUAUCGUGGGGGAUAACGCAGCGAAAGCUGCGCUAAUACCGCAUACGCCCUGAGGGGGAAAGCGGGGGACCGUAAGGCCUCGCGCGAUUAGAGCGGCCGAUAUCUGAUUAGCUUGUUGGUGGGGUAAAAGCCCACCAAGGCGACGAUCAGUAGCUGGUCUGAGAGGACGAUCAGCCACACUGGGACUGAGACACGGCCCAGACUCCUACGGGAGGCAGCAGUGGGGAAUUUUGGACAAUGGGGGCAACCCUGAUCCAGCAAUGCCGCGUGAGUGAAGAAGGCCUUCGGGUUGUAAAGCUCUUUUGUCAGGGAAGAAACAGCAGCUCUAACACAGUCUGCGAAUGACGGUACCUGAAGAAUAAGCACCGGCUAACUACGUGCCAGCAGCCGCGGUAAUACGUAGGGUGCAAGCGUUAAUCGGAAUUACUGGGCGUAAAGCGUGCGCAGGCGGUUAUACAAGACAGGCGUGAAAUCCC
RNAcentral lists this ribosomal RNA (601 nucleotides) under uncultured freshwater bacterium. RNAcentral's name for it is "bacterial SSU rRNA". It matches the Rfam family "Bacterial small subunit ribosomal RNA", at positions 8 to 603 of the family's 1533-position model. The record is from RNAcentral.